CCUGACCGAGCACAGCGCAUCGAACUAAGCGGGCCCUGCGGAAGGUUCACCCCAAUUGCCGAAGCCGAGAUCGAAGCAAUCCACGUAGCGAUUAACACACUACUCGACGGGUUCAAGGGAGGCAAUAUCCCACCCGCCGACGUUGUCGUGCUCACUGACUCCAGAUCAGCGCUUCAGGCACUAACACACUGUCCCAGCCGAAAGCUAGAGGACACCCUCCGCAAUAUUGCUACGCUCAGAAUGACUCACGAUAAGUCAGUAACAAUACAAUGGAUCCCAUCCCACUCACGCCUGGCGGGUAACGAGAGAGCAGACGAGCUGGCCAAGCACGGCGCUGACCAGCCACAACCCGAGACACCGGUCUCACUCCCGCCAUCAAGACCCUGUUGAGGGCACACUUUAGGAAUAAGUGGAUCCGACGAUGGCGAGACGGCAACACGGGAAGAGUGGUGUGGGAGAAGUUGGAUCGGGGUCUUGGACGCUGUUCUUCGUGAGCGGCCGUGCAAGAGCGUCCUACCCAGUCACGCUUCAGCAGAUAUUAAUGUCGGUGCCAGCAGCCGCGGUAAUUCCAGCUCCAAUAGCGUAUAUUAAAGUUGUUGCAGUUAAAAAGCUCGUAGUUGGAUCUCGGGUGCAGGCGGGCGGUCCGGCUCGCGCCGGUUCACUGCCCGUAUUAAAUCCUGCCCUACUUGUCUGUCGGCUCUCUCCCGCGGGUGCUCUUCGCUGAGCGUCCCGGGUGGCCGACGCGUUUACUUUGAAAAAAUUAGAGUGUUCAAAGCAGGCAUUCACAAGCCUGAAUAAUGGUGCAUGGAAUAAUGGAAUAGGACCUCGGUUCUAUUUUGUUGGUUUUCGGAACUGGAGGUAAUGAUUAACAGGGACAAACGGGGGCAUUCGUAUUCCGGGAAACCAAAGGUUUUGGGCUCCGGGGAAGUAUGGUUGCAAAUCUGAAACUUAAAGGAAUUGACGGAAGGGCUUAAUUUGACUCAACACGGGAAAACUCACCCGGUCCGGACACUGUAAGGAUUGACAGAUUGAUAGCUCUUUCUUGAUUCGGUGGGUGGUGGUGCAUGGCCGUUCUUAGUUGGUGGAGCGAUUUGUCUGGUUAAUUCCGAUAACGAACGAGACUCUAGCCUAUUAAAUAGUUCGCCUCGGUGGUUCUAUUGCCGAUGGCGUACACUUCUUAGAGGGACGAGUGGCGUUUAGCCACACGAAAUUGAGCAAUAACAGGUCUGUGAUGCCCUUAGAUGUCCGGGGCCGCACGCGCGCUACACUGAAGGAAUCAGCGUGGAUGCCUCCCUGGCCCGAAAGGGCUGGGAAACCCGUUGAAUCUCCUUCGUGCUAGGGAUUGGGGCUUGUAAUUGUUCCCCAUGAACGAGGAAUUCCCAGUAAGCGCGAGUCAUAAGCUCGCGUUGAUUACGUCCCUGCCCUUUGUACACACCGCCCGUCGCUACUAUCGAUUGAGCGGUUCAGUGAGGGCCUCGGAUUGGUCUCGGUCUGGCGUGCAAGCGCCGGCACCGUUGGCCGAGAAGACGCUCGAACUCGAUCGCUUGGAGAAAGUAAAAGUCGUAACAAGGUUUCCGUAGGUGAACCUGCGGAAG
This 1595-nucleotide ribosomal RNA is filed under the name Lymnaea stagnalis (great pond snail). RNAcentral's name for it is "bacterial SSU rRNA". The stretch from base 374 to 1595 matches the Rfam family "Eukaryotic small subunit ribosomal RNA". Lineage: Eukaryota; Metazoa; Mollusca; Gastropoda; Lymnaeidae. The record is from RNAcentral.